ACCACUCACACACCCUACAUCUCUCCUCCAUCCAAUGGCUGGCAGCAGAAUAUUUUGUUCUCGUCCCAUUAACUGCGAUCCGUCCCACACGCGCCGUUAAUUCUGCAUCAGCUCCAUAGUUCCGCACCACCGCGGUCUCCGCGUCCACCGACCGCAUAUGUCUCCUCCCGAUCUAUUCUCCUCGCCGGAAUCGUCCCCGCUCCUCUCCUCCUCGUCAUUCCUCUACUGCCACCUGACUACUGGAUUCGCCCGCCGUUCCUGAUUCGCAGCCGCCCAGCAACCUAUCACCGCGCCGCGUUCAUGAUUCGCAGCCGCCCAGCAACCUGCUGGGCAGCUGCUUCGCGAUGCGACCUGCUGCCAUCCGAUCUACAGUCGUAGCACUAUACCACUCUCCUACAUGGACAGUCAGUGUCCGAUCCAUUGGUGACCGCCGAUGGAGACGACUCAGCCGGGCCUUCAAGUCUACAGACAUGGGAAAUCAGCGGGCCAUGUCGAUUCGUCGACUACAUGAUUCGGGCUGUUCGAUGGGAGGGAAGUGAUUUAGGGAAGGGUAGGCUCACCUGCCCGAGUCGAUCAAAGCAGUGUAGCAUUCCUGCGGGCAGCAAUCAGCACAACCAUGAGUACAGUAGGUCCUGUUCCGGCCGGCUGCAAUCAUCACAACGAUGCGCAGAGUGGGGCGAUACUGCUGCAGCUCGCAUCGUGCACGAGCACAUCUCGGAAUGGGGCCGCAUAAGACUGUUCCGUUGAGGCAGGAAGCACGACCACCAUCUGUAGGAAGCACGAUCACAUCUAAAUGAAGCACGAUGACCAAAAAAGUAUGGUCAAAAUCAGCCGGUGCGUCUGAAGAAUCACAAGCACAACAUGGAUGAAGCACGGCCAACAUUGACAAGUAGCAUGUAGCAUGAUCACCAUAUGAAGGAAGCAAAGCUACCGCAGCAAGGACACAUGCAUGAAUCAGAAGGAAGCACAUCAUCACCAUCAGCUCUUGGUGUCCGCAUUGUGCAUACAUGCCACAAGAUAGAUACCUAGAUGCCGCUUUUUGUUCUAUGGAAGCAAACACGGAGAAUGUGACACGUUCCAUGGCGGGGGCAUGCAUAGAAGCAUGGUGGAAGCAAGCAGAUAUUUUCCAUUACUGCAUUACAUGUCAUUAUAAAACUUGUAAUUUCCAAUUAAUAUAUAUUUGGCCAUGGAAGCACAUCUCCAUUCAAUAGGAGCAAAUAUUUAAUUCUUUAGAAGCUCAUCCUAUUUCUUCAGAAGCAUGUAUAAUUAUUGCAGCGAAAAUAAUUGCAUUGUUGUCGGAAAAAUAUUCAUAUUAUGUUGGAAGCAAGACUUGUCGAUGGAAG
Lolium perenne is the source of this 1343-nucleotide long non-coding RNA. RefSeq lists it as uncharacterized. Lineage: Eukaryota; Viridiplantae; Streptophyta; Magnoliopsida; Poales; Poaceae. The record is from RefSeq and is a predicted model, not a curated record.